RNAcentral lists this ribosomal RNA (484 nucleotides) under uncultured bacterium. RNAcentral's name for it is "partial 16S ribosomal RNA". It matches the Rfam family "Bacterial small subunit ribosomal RNA", at positions 30 to 507 of the family's 1533-position model. The record is from RNAcentral.
AUUGAACGCUGGCGGCAGGCCUAACACAUGCAAGUCGAGCGGAUGAAGGGAGCUUGCUCCUGGAUUCAGCGGCGGACGGGUGAGUAAUGCCUAUGAAUCUGCCUGGUCGUGGGGGAUAACGUCCGGAAACGGGCGCUAAUACCGCAUACGUCCUGUGGUAGAAAUUGGGGGAUCUUCGGACCUCACGCUUUCAGAUUAGCCUAGGUCGGAUUAGCUAGUUGGUGGGGUAACGGCCUACCAAGGCGACGAUCCGUAACUGGUCUGAGAGGAUGAUCAGUCACACUGGAACUGAGACACGGUCCAGACUCCUACGGGAGGAAGCAGCGGAGAAUAUUGGGCAAUGGGCGAAAGCCUGAUACAGCCAUGCCGCGUGUGUGAAGAAGGUCUUCGGAUUGUAAAGCACUUUAAGUUGGGAGGAAGGGAAGUAAGUUAAUACCUUGCUGUUUUGACGUUACCAACAGAAUAAGCACCGGCUAACUUCGUG